RNAcentral lists this long non-coding RNA (502 nucleotides) under Malus domestica (apple). RNAcentral's name for it is "long non-coding RNA (MDOM_LNC001324)". Lineage: Eukaryota; Viridiplantae; Streptophyta; Magnoliopsida; Rosales; Rosaceae. The record is from RNAcentral.
CCACACCUUCGAGGACGGACAAAUUUGUUGAGGUACAAAAUUAAAUAAAUAAAUGGUUUGUUUAUUGGGUUUUAAAUUAGGGUUUUGUUAUUGAAUUUGAUGAAUUUCUUUGUGUCGUGCAAAUAAGAUUGGUUGGCAUCUUAUUAAUUUAUUGGGUGUUAAUUUGAUGAAUUCCUUGCGGAUGAUAAUCAUCAUUCCUGUUACCGGAGAAAUCAUCGGUCCUUUUAUCACCCUAAGCAUUUCCGUCAACUAAAUUAAUUUUUGGGUUUUUAUUUUAAAGUUUAUUUUACUAUUUAAUCAUUGCAUUUGAUCGUGUAGGAUCUGAAAGGAAGAGAGGGAUAAUCGUUGGUGCAGUGGUGGUCGGUGUCGAGCGAGAGUGGGAGGGACAACGACGGUCCUAGGGAUUUGAUGCGGGGGGAGAACGAGGGAAUAGGAAAGAGAUCAUUCCAGUUGUUUUAGGGACAAGGAUUGUCAUUUUGCAAAACUAACGAGGGUGUUAUUG